Molecule: long non-coding RNA, 1402 nt
Filed under: Anser brachyrhynchus (Pink-footed goose)
Lineage: Eukaryota; Metazoa; Chordata; Aves; Anseriformes; Anatidae
Description: lncRNA (ENSABRG00000019103.1)
Source: RNAcentral
AGAGCACUUACAGUGCUUGUAAAUCUUCUGUUCAUUCCAACUCUGCAUAGCAGACCCGUGGCAGCUUUGUUGCUGUUGGAGCUGAGCAAUCACAUAUUCAGACUCAGUCCUGUCUGUCUGCGCAUCAGUGAGCAUAUUGCUGUGUUGUGACUGCUUUGCAAAAACUGAUGUGCAUAUGAACAAGGUUGUUGUUCUUUUCCCCUUUUCAUUAAAUUCUCCAGUGUUACUUCAUGAGGGGGCUCAUUAUUGCAAUUAGUUGCAAAACUAUUUAGAUAAAUAAGUUGUGAUACCACUGAGAUACACAAAACGUUUGCAUGUUGAGGGUAUAAAUAAAAGUGUGUGUGCAUGUUUCUGAUCUUUUGUUUGCCUAACUGAAUAUGGAAUACACAGGGAGUUGUGUAAUUCCUUAUGAUUUGGAAAAUAAGUCUUUGAAUGUUAUUCUCAUGUAACAGGGCUGGCCGAUGGCACAGACAACUGUUAUCUGCAAUGUAUAAAUGAAGUGAUACAUAUGUGAGAUUUGUGUCUGCAUCAUUCAGAAUGAGAAUGUCAGAGAAUAUCACGUUUGCCUCUGGCACAAAGCCAAUGUUAUAGGCAGUGGAGUAAGCAGCAUGUGGAUCUUUUUGUAAUGAACAUAAAGCCAUGUGCCAACAACUUGUUUUGUAAUCCGAGUGGAUAAUGUGCUAGGUAAAGUGGUGCAAUACAAAACAAACAAACAAAUUAUGAUGUCUUCUUUCCACAGAAGAAGAAAAAAAGCAGAUGAACUAUAAACAACAGUAUCCCAAGUCUCAAAAGCUAAAAGAAAUGCAAACAACUGGUGGGUGGCCUGAUAUCAGCUUGAGGUGAGCAACAAAGGAAACUGCUGGAACAAUCAGCCCAGACAGCGAAACACAGGUUAAAAAUAUUGGAAGUCAUGAAGAUAUCUGAUUCCCACUGUCAAAUGCAACUUUUGAAAUCCCUCUGUGUACCUUGGGCCAGGAGAAUUGUGUGUGCUCAUGAAGAAACAUCGGUGAAUUCAGUGAUCUUCUCAGAUUUACAUAUACUAGCAAUCAUGUAGAAGAUUUAAAUCAGUGACAGCAUUUGUACUGGUCAUAUCCUAGCACUUUGCCUCUCAGGUAUGAACACACAUGAUUCAAAAUUCCACGCAAGUUUUUUGUUGAUGGAGGGAGACUCCUGGCUUACUUUUGUCUAUCUAAUUAGCAAAGCCAGAUCACAGUUGUUUGAGGGGUGUAUUUAGUGGUAUGAUUUUCCUUUUUUUGUAGUUCUCUUUAUCAGAAAAUUUCUAGGCACUUCUGAAGUUUCACAUCAAUUCCAAAGCACUAUGUCUACGUUGCACCACAUUCUACUUGUGUUUUGUUUGUAACAUUACCAAACUCAAGGCUGUGAAUUUAAAUAUAGAUAUUCC